This 253-nucleotide ribosomal RNA is filed under the name uncultured bacterium. Its description in RNAcentral is "partial 16S ribosomal RNA". It matches the Rfam family "Bacterial small subunit ribosomal RNA", at positions 524 to 776 of the family's 1533-position model. The record is from RNAcentral.
UACGUAGGUGGCAAGCGUUGUCCGGAUUUACUGGGCGGAAAGGGCGUGCAGGCGGUUUGUUAAGUCUAGGGUGAAAGCUCCCGGCUCAACUGGGAGAGGUCCUUGGAUACCGGCGAACUUGAGGGAUGCAGAGGAAAGUGGAAUUCCCGGUGUAGUGGUGAUAUGCGUAGAUAUCGGGAGGAACACCAGUGGCGAAGGCGGCUUUCUGGGCAUUUCCUGACGCUGAGACGCGAAAGCGUGGGGAGCGAACCGG